AACAACAAACAAUCGGAACUUCUAACAAAUGAACAACACUAACAGCUGUAACAACAAGAAAAUGUAAGCAAAAAAGAUCGGGUUCCGGUUCCGGACCCCGCGUACCUGCCCUACCUGAGACGAUCCGCUGAUCUUGUCUCCCACAUUUUGGCCACUAGAUGGCCUGCAACAGCCCGUAUUGGCUGACAUGUCCCCUUUUCCCCUCAAUUGCGAUUAAGCUGGACAUUUCUCUCUACAGUAGGGUAUCCCCAUUCUGCAAUUUAUUCUAUGCAAGCUGACAUUGUCUUCAAUUCUUCAACAGAAUACAUUUUUAUUUAACAACAUUAAAUGAAACAAGCGACGAAACACUGCAAAGUUAUUGCCAGUCAAGAAAAGAAAAAAAUAACCAGGGGAAAGAUAUAACACCAGACGCAAUAAUCUUUGGGGCCUUUCCUUCACUGUUCGCACUUUCGAAAAUUUUCUUACGUGAAACUAGGCGUAAGUAUAUUAUAUAUUCAUACAAAAGAACUAAUUCUAAUGGCAAAAAAAAUCUUUUCUCCGUCGGGGUCUCGAGCACAAGUCUACGUCUGACUCUGAUGAUGUGGGCUUGGUGUUGCUUAUGGCCACUUCUUAGCCUGUCCUUCGGGAUACGGUCGGUGACUGGUGCGCCGUGGGUAUGGCUGAGGUGCGCCGCUGCGUCGAAAACUGGUCCCUUCGGUGGCGGAGCCGUUUAUUUUGUUAAUUGUCUUAUGAUUUUUAUUUGUACGUCUCGUGUCGCACGUAAGUUUUUAGUGUUUUCUAAUUUUUCUAUAAUGUGACACAAUGUUUAAAUUCGGAUUAUUAAACGGCAAACAAAAUUUAAUUGUUUAAUUUUAAA
Long non-coding RNA from Drosophila montana, 856 nucleotides. RefSeq lists it as uncharacterized. The record is from RefSeq and is a predicted model, not a curated record. The transcript has 5 exons. Lineage: Eukaryota; Metazoa; Arthropoda; Insecta; Diptera; Drosophilidae.